CAUAGGUUAAUGAGGCGAACCGGGGGAACUGAAACAUCUAAGUACCCCGAGGAAAAGAAAUCAACCGAGAUUCCCCCAGUAGCGGCGAGCGAACGGGGAGGAGCCCAGAGCCUGAAUCAGUGUGUGUGUUAGUGGAAGCGUCUGGAAAGGCGCGCGAUACAGGGUGACAGCCCCGUACACAAAAAUGCACAUGCUGUGAGCUCGAUGAGUAGGGCGGGACACGUGGUAUCCUGUCUGAAUAUGGGGGGACCAUCCUCCAAGGCUAAAUACUCCUGACUGACCGAUAGUGAACCAGUACCGUGAGGGAAAGGCGAAAAGAACCCCGGCGAGGGGAGUGAAAAAGAACCUGAAACCGUGUACGUACAAGCAGUGGGAGCACGCUUAGGCGUGUGACUGCGUACCUUUUGUAUAAUGGGUCAGCGACUUAUAUUCUGUAGCAAGGUUAACCGAAUAGGGGAGCCGAAGGGAAACCGAGUCUUAACUGGGCGUUAAGUUGCAGGGUAUAGACCCGAAACCCGGUGAUCUAGCCAUGGGCAGGUUGAAGGUUGGGUAACACUAACUGGAGGACCGAACCGACUAAUGUUGAAAAAUUAGCGGAUGACUUGUGGCUGGGGGUGAAAGGCCAAUCAAACCGGGAGAUAGCUGGUUCUCCCCGAAAGCUAUUUAGGUAGCGCCUCGUGAAUUCAUCUCCGGGGGUAGAGCACUGUUUCGGCAAGGGGGUCAUCCCGACUUACCAACCCGAUGCAAACUGCGAAUACCGGAGAAUGUUAUCACGGGAGACACACGGCGGGUGCUAACGUCCGUCGUGAAGAGGGAAACAACCCAGACCGCCAGCUAAGGUCCCAAAGUCAUGGUUAAGUGGGAAACGAUGUGGGAAGGCCCAGACAGCCAGGAUGUUGGCUUAGAAGCAGCCAUCAUUUAAAGAAAGCGUAAUAGCUCACUGGUCGAGUCGGCCUGCGCGGAAGAUGUAACGGGGCUAAACCAUGCACCGAAGCUGCGGCAGCGACACUAUGUGUUGUUGGGUAGGGGAGCGUUCUGUAAGCCUGUGAAGGUGUGCUGUGAGGCAUGCUGGAGGUAUCAGAAGUGCGAAUGCUGACAUAAGUAACGAUAAAGCGGGUGAAAAGCCCGCUCGCCGGAAGACCAAGGGUUCCUGUCCAACGUUAAUCGGGGCAGGGUGAGUCGACCCCUAAGGCGAGGCCGAAAGGCGUAGUCGAUGGGAAACAGGUUAAUAUUCCUGUACUUGGUGUUACUGCGAAGGGGGGACGGAGAAGGCUAUGUUGGCCGGGCGACGGUUGUCCCGGUUUAAGCGUGUAGGCUGGUUUUCCAGGCAAAUCCGGAAAAUCAAGGCUGAGGCGUGAUGACGAGGCACUACGGUGCUGAAGCAACAAAUGCCCUGCUUCCAGGAAAAGCCUCUAAGCAUCAGGUAACAUCAAAUCGUACCCCAAACCGACACAGGUGGUCAGGUAGAGAAUACCAAGGCGCUUGAGAGAACUCGGGUGAAGGAACUAGGCAAAAUGGUGCCGUAACUUCGGGAGAAGGCACGCUGAUAUGUAGGUGAAGUCCCUCGCGGAUGGAGCUGAAAUCAGUCGAAGA
This 1593-nucleotide ribosomal RNA is filed under the name Escherichia coli. RNAcentral's name for it is "partial 23S ribosomal RNA". It matches the Rfam family "Bacterial large subunit ribosomal RNA", at positions 165 to 1783 of the family's 2925-position model. Lineage: Bacteria; Pseudomonadati; Pseudomonadota; Gammaproteobacteria; Enterobacterales; Enterobacteriaceae. The record is from RNAcentral.